RNAcentral lists this ribosomal RNA (468 nucleotides) under uncultured bacterium. Its description in RNAcentral is "partial 16S ribosomal RNA". It matches the Rfam family "Bacterial small subunit ribosomal RNA", at positions 28 to 507 of the family's 1533-position model. The record is from RNAcentral.
GACGAACGCUGGCGGCGUGCUUAACACAUGCAAGUCGAACGGAAAGGCCCUGCUUUUGUGGGGUGCUCGAGUGGCGAACGGGUGAGUAACACGUGAGUAACCUGCCCUUGACUUUGGGAUAACUUCAGGAAACUGGGGCUAAUACCGGAUAGGAGCUCCUGCUGCAUGGUGGGGGUUGGAAAGAUUCGGCGGUUGGGGAUGGACUCGCGGCUUAUCAGCUUGUUGGUGGGGUAGUGGCUUACCAAGGCUUUGACGGGUAGCCGGCCUGAGAGGGUGACCGGCCACAUUGGGACUGAGAUACGGCCCAGACUCCUACGGGAGGCAGCAGUGGGGAAUAUUGCACAAUGGGCGGAAGUCUGAUGCAGCAACGCCGCGUGCGGGAUGACGGCCUUCGGGUUGUAAACCGCUUUCGCCUGUGACGAAGCGUGAGUGACGGUAAUGGGUAAAGAAGCACCGGCUAACUACGUG